ACGGGGCCCGCACAAGCGGUGGAGCAUGUGGUUUAAUUCGACGCAACGCGAAGAACCUUACCAGGGCUUGACAUCCCCUGACCGCGUAUGAAAGUACGUUUUCACCCUCGGGUGACAGGGAGACAGGUGGUGCAUGGUUGUCGUCAGCUCGUGUCGUGAGAUGUUGGGUUAAGUCCCGCAACGAGCGCAACCCUUGUCACUAGUUGCCAUCAUUUAGUUGGGCACUCUAGUGAGACUGCCGGUGACAAACCGGAGGAAGGUGGGGAUGACGUCAAGUCCUCAUGGCCCUUAUGGGUAGGGCUUCACACGUCAUACAAUGGUCGGUACAGAGGGUUGCCAAGCCGCGAGGUGGAGCCAAUCCCUUAAAGCCGAUCGUAGUCCGGAUCGUAGUCUGCAACUCGACUACGUGAAGUCGGAAUCGCUAGUAAUCGCAGAUCAGCAUGCUGCGGUGAAUACGUUCCCGGGUCUU
RNAcentral lists this ribosomal RNA (469 nucleotides) under uncultured Gelria sp. RNAcentral describes it as "bacterial SSU rRNA". It matches the Rfam family "Bacterial small subunit ribosomal RNA", at positions 916 to 1381 of the family's 1533-position model. Lineage: Bacteria; Bacillati; Bacillota; Clostridia; Thermoanaerobacterales; Thermoanaerobacteraceae. The record is from RNAcentral.